CACGCCGUAAACGAUGAAUGCCAGUCGUCGGUGCGCAUGCGUAUCGGUGACACACCUAACGGAUUAAGCAUUCCGCCUGGGGAGUACGGUCGCAAGAUUAAAACUCAAAGGAAUUGACGGGGGCCCGCACAAGCGGUGGAGUAUGUGGUUUAAUUCGACGCAACGCGAAGAACCUUACCAAGGCUUGACAUUGAGUGAAAGGCUAAGAGAUUAGCCCCUCUCUUCGGAGACACGAAAACAGGUGG
This 245-nucleotide ribosomal RNA is filed under the name uncultured bacterium. RNAcentral describes it as "partial 16S ribosomal RNA". It matches the Rfam family "Bacterial small subunit ribosomal RNA", at positions 796 to 1041 of the family's 1533-position model. The record is from RNAcentral.